Sus scrofa (pig) is the source of this 2783-nucleotide non-coding RNA. The record is from RefSeq and is a predicted model, not a curated record. Lineage: Eukaryota; Metazoa; Chordata; Mammalia; Artiodactyla; Suidae.
GGAGGGGGCAGGUUUCCCUGGUGAACUGAUUGCUGGGCUCGUGGAUCUCAGUUUAAGGCCAAAGGGCAGCAGGUGAGGGAGCCUUUAGAGUCUCCUUCCGGUUGCCCGUCCCACUCGGCCGAGCCCAGACCUGCACCUCCUCUUUCAGCUCUGCCAUCCCAUGAAUUUUCUCAUCACCUCAGUGAGAUGAAAGGGCUGAGCCUGCCAGAGUCAAGGCACUUUAUCCAGACCACAAAACCCAGCUCUGCAUCUGGUUGCAAAAUUUCCAGCUCUGGCUUCACAAGUGAUAGUGGCCUGGUGAAGACUCCUGCCUCAGCAGGUGGUCCGACCCCACCGAACCUGCCAAGCUUUCUUACCACUGUGACACCCGACCAGUCUGCAAAUCCACAUUCAGUGCUGAAGGGACCCCUGUUUCCUCUGGAGGCAUCUUGGCCCAAAGAGUCCCAGGUGCCCUGAAAACAACCCCAAAUGUCCGGAUUCUUCCUGGGGCAUCCCCCAAAAGCAUCAUCAACCCCAUGUCUGAGCCUGGAGCCUGAAGCCUUGGAGCUGCACAUGGGACCAGAAGGUGCCAGCUGUGACACUGGGGACUUGUCUGGCCAGGUUGUGAUCUCCAAAUACAGCUCUUAUCACAGUCCCAGCAGUGACAGAGACAAGCUCUUAACCAGGCAGCCACGAGGAAACUCCAUGAGAGCUUUCUUGAUAUCAAUAAACUUUUCCUAAUUCACCAGACCUGGGUUUGAUUAGGCUUCCAUAGCCUGGUGUGGUACUGAAACAGAGGCUUCUGUGGAAAGGCAAGGGGGAAGUUUCACUAGGUCUCUUGAAUGAAAAAAGCAUAAGGAUUAGCACAGCCAACAGCCAAAAUAACACCAAAUUCCACCAUCCAUUCAUCAGCACCAGCCCCUAUCCAGAUACCUAAACCCUUGACAAUCAGGGGCUUGAAAAUUUCCAGCAUGUGAAUCAAAACAGAUAGUGUGUGGGUCCCAGCUCCUGCCUCUGGAAGAACACAAGGCAAUCUGAAACCCAGUGAAACGCUCAAGCAUUCUAAAUGAUCUGCCAACCAACCAGGCUGCAAAUCCACAUCCAAUGCUGAAGGGACACUUGUUUUCUUCUGCCUGACAUGAGGCAUCUUGGAGCAGAGUCACCAGAGCCUGGAAAGCCAUGCCAAACCUCUGGGUGCUUGCUGGAGGUUCUACCAAAACCACCAUCAACCUCACCUCUGAGCCUGCAUUCACAGCUUUGAAGCUGCGCAGGGGUCAAGAAGGUACUCUGGCUCUAUCUUGGGGACAUCUGCUCUAACAGCAACUCUCAGGCUUUCCUCCUCUCUGGUUCAGCAGCCCCCAGGGCUCUAUUGGCCUUGGGCAAUAUGCGGGUCAGCUUUCCUUCCCCCUCUUUCUUUAUUACUGAGAAGCACCUGCCAAUAUGGGCUAUAUCUCUCUCAAAGUCUUUCAGAGCAGUGAGCCCAACCUAACUCUAAUUCUAACCCUAACCCUCUAAUCCUAACCCCCAAACACAAACCCUAAGCCUCUAACCCUGACCUCUCACCCCAAGCCAAACCCUAACACUGAACCUGAUCCCAAAGCCCAACCAGAACCCAAACCCUGACCCCUAACCCUAAACCCUAACCCCUAAACCUAACCCCAACCCUAAACCCUAACCCAUCAGGUGCCUAUGGUUGUGGGAAAUGGGCCUUUCUCCUCAGGUUCUGUACAAAGAACAUGUGGAGUCCCGAGGGUCAAGGUAGACGUGGGGCUGCAGUUCUAGCUCAUUUUCUAAUUUUAACUGGCUCAUGAGUGGGAGACUAUUUCAAGAAGACUCUCCUCAUGAGAGGAAUCCUGUAAGUAGGGAGAAGAGGGGAGGUGGGUGGAAACAGGGGCCGGGUAUCCUGGUGCAUUGGAAGCCUCUGGAAGACCCAUUGGAGGGAGGCUGCACGGAGAAAUGUCCAGGGGCACAGACCUGCCCAGGAGCUGCUGUUAGUUCAGAUACUGCUCUAAGGUGCUCAGGGUCCGCUCUAACAAGGGGGGCUGGGGGAGGGUCUGCAGUGAAGUCUCUGUAUAUGGUUCCUGUGUGCUGAUCACUGUCAGGGUGCCUGCCCAGGUGAGCUCCAUAUCCUGGGAGGAGCCUGCCCUUGUGAGCCCCGGGUGAUGAUGGGUGAUUGCCCAGGUGAGCUCCAUAUCCAAGGCAUGACCUGCCCUCAUGAGCCCCAGGGGCUUAUGGGUGAUUGCCCAGGUGAGCUCCAUAUUCUGGGCAGGGCCUGCCUUCAUAAGCCCUGGGAACUGGGAGGGGCUUGUGAACAAGCAUCCUUUGCAUUUGGCACAGAGUUGUUUAGUGUGAUUCUCCUGGGGGCAUUGCUGGAAUGAAAUGAGAACCAGAAAGUGCUACACGUUCUUGGACCCCCACCCAGACUCAUCCAGAGUGACAAGGUCAGUAGGAGUUCUCCCCGAAUUCUUUCUUCUCCUUCCAUCUGAACCUCUAUAUCCUGUCUGCAAUCAUUGUUUCAAGGAGCACAACUAAGAGAAGAUCCUGAGAGUGAAGGCAGCUGGGACUGAUUUAAAGAAGGCUCUCAGUACCCAAUGGUGGGGAUAUGUGUUGGGGUGGGGAACACUUAAAUCCACUCUUGCGGUGGGAGUAGGAUUCUUCACUGUCACCCUGGAUACUCAACCUUCAUGACACAAGCCCACACCCUGAAAUCAAAGACCCAGCUCUGUAAGUCACUUCAGCCAGCUCUGAAGUAAUCAGCACCCUUAAGCCCUGGGACCCAGAUAGAAGCCAAGGGCCACCUAGGC